AAUAACACAAAAUAGGAAUCGAACGCACAUGAACGUUGCUUAAUGAGCCCGCUCAACCCCUAGCGCAUCUCUACUUUUAAUGUCUCAAUUGAUAGUCUUCGCCGGUUAAAUUUCGUCCCACCAUUUUCGUCUCUUUUUUUUUCGUCCUACCUUACCACCGUCCCUUCAUGUUAGGUUUUUCUACGUCAUUCUUCUUCACGCACAGGCAUAAAAGAAAACCCGAGUCAUCCCAUACGCCGCCGCCGCGUAAAGCCCUAUCCCUAACCCGCUCUCGUCUCCCUCCCUAGGACGCAGUCGCCCUGGCCAUGCCGCCGCCGCCGCCCACCCGUACGUCGCCAGCAACGGCCUCGCCAUCAUCCUCAUGUGCGCCCGACGUUUCCGUCUCCUCGCUGGCCCUAGGCUCAUCGAGCUUCCUCUCCAUGCGUUGCUGCCUCCUCUGUGCCGCCACCCCACGGUCUCCACCAGCGUCCCUGCGGAGUACAUGGGAGCCGCCGCUGCCGCCGGGGACAAGGAUACACAUGGAAACCGCCACAGCCUUAGGCACGCCUGCGGGCUAGCCUAUGCCUACUAUAUCCGGUGUUCUGGUGCAUCCGGUGCGACCUCAAAGAAUACAUUCUUCUAGCUGAGCUUUGAGCUCCUCAGGGACGAUGCCUGGGGUGGAAGCAGUUCAACUGCACGAUGAAGAAGUGAGUUAAGGGGUUAAGACGGUUGCGUUGGGCGUGCCCUGCUUGCUUGCUGUGCCUAGCAUCACCGGCAACAAGUUCAACGCUGUCCGACAAGGUGCCCUGCAGGGACAACCUCGGUCGACCUGUCAUCGAACUUCACUGCUUGAGGCAGGAGCAGUGACUAGCAUUGACCAGGAGGAGCAAGAAGCAGCGACAGCUACCAUUGCUGGCUGAGCUAGCUGCUAGGUUGCCUCUCUCUUUCCCUCAUAUUCAUAUAUGUGGGUUUGCAACAGCCAAAAGUACGCUCGUGAUUCUUUGUUUUUACUAACAAUCCAUAUUUGGAUGCCUUCUUUCUCCCCAGUUACUUGCGACGGGUUGUGGGCAACUACAAGUUAGAAGAAUCAGUACUGAAAACGUCUUCUGAAUGUUAAUAAAAUGCUUUUCCUGUUGUGCAUUUGUAUGCUUCAGUUCUCUUUUUCGUGCCGGGUAUACUUCAGUUAUACUAAAACAUCCAUCUUA
Non-coding RNA from Aegilops tauschii subsp. strangulata, 1184 nucleotides. NCBI's taxonomy places the organism in Eukaryota, Viridiplantae, Streptophyta, Magnoliopsida, Poales, Poaceae. The record is from RefSeq and is a predicted model, not a curated record.